This 419-nucleotide long non-coding RNA is filed under the name Sinocyclocheilus anshuiensis. RNAcentral describes it as "lncRNA (ENSSANG00000008082.1)". The record is from RNAcentral. Lineage: Eukaryota; Metazoa; Chordata; Actinopteri; Cypriniformes; Cyprinidae.
AUCUUUGGGAAACAAUCAGUCUAGAUGCAGCACAGCUGUGACCAAGAGAGGCAAGGGAUUUUGUUUCAGCAUUUCAUCAGGUUCAAAUCUAGCAUGGAUGGCUCCAGAAAUCUUUAAUGCCAAAUUGAUUAGGUAAAAAACUGCUUUAACCAGCAUUUUUGAAGACGUCAGACACUUUCAGUGUGUCAAGUUCACACAGGGUGCUGCAAUCAAUCAACUCAUCCAUCUGAUGAUCUAUUCUCUAAAAAUGGAUUGUGUAGCACAGUUUUCCUCUUGUGAGGGAACCUCAGUUUUACAAGCCAGAAAAGAAGGGAGCAGUUUCACAUAAGAAAGCCCUUUGGAACCUUUACUACUAAAAAAGAAACAGUUACAGCCACAAAAGGGCUUUGCAGCCUAAUGCAAGAUGAACUGUGUGGGGA